UGAUCCGCCACACUGCGACUGAGACACGGCCCAGACUCCUACGGGAGGCAGCAGUGGGGAAUAUUGGACAAUGGGCGGAAGCCUGAUCCAGCCAUGCCGCGUGUGUGAAGAAGGCCUUUUGGUUGUAAAGCACUUUAAGCGAGGAGGAGGGCUACUCUAGUUAAUACCUAGAGAUAGUGGACGUUACUCGCAGAAUAAGCACCGGCUAACUCUGUGCCAGCAGCCGCNGUAAUACAGAGGGUGCGAGCGUUAAUCGGAUUUACUGGGCGUAAAGCGUGCGUAGGCGGCUGAUUAAGUCGGAUGUGAAAUCUCUGAGCUUAACUUAGGAAUUGCAUUCGAUACUGUUCACCUAGAGUAUGGGAGAGGAUGGUAGAAUUCCAGGUGUAGCGGUGAAAUGCGUAGAGAUCUGGAGGAAUACCGAUGGCGAAGGCAGCCAUCUGGCCUAAUACUGACGCUGAGGUACGAAAGCAUGGGGAGCAAACAGGAUUAGAUACCCUGGUAGUCCAUGCCGUAAACGAUGUCUACUAGCCGUUGGGGCCUUUGAGGCUUUAGUGGCGCAGCUAACGCGAUAAGUAGACCGCCUGGGGAGUACGGUCGCAAGACUAAAACUCAAAUGAAUUGACGGGGGCCCGCACAAGCGGUGGAGCAUGUGGUUUAAUUCGAUGCAACGCGAAGAACCUUACCUGGUCUUGACAUAGUAAGAACUUUCCAGAGAUGGAUUGGUGCCUUCGGGAACUUACAUACAGGUGCUGCAUGGCUGUCGUCAGCUCGUGUCGUGAGAUGUGGGUUAAGU
Molecule: ribosomal RNA, 793 nt
Filed under: Acinetobacter haemolyticus
Lineage: Bacteria; Pseudomonadati; Pseudomonadota; Gammaproteobacteria; Moraxellales; Moraxellaceae
Description: bacterial SSU rRNA
Rfam family: Bacterial small subunit ribosomal RNA
Source: RNAcentral